Molecule: long non-coding RNA, 277 nt
Organism: Sphaeramia orbicularis (orbiculate cardinalfish)
Lineage: Eukaryota; Metazoa; Chordata; Actinopteri; Kurtiformes; Apogonidae
Exons: 3
Source: RefSeq, a predicted model, not a curated record
AUAUAAUACACGUAGAUUAUACAAUUGCAGGAAAAAAGGAUUAGACCACCCUUGUUUUCUUCAAUUUCUUGUUCAUUUUAAUGCCUGGUACAGCUAUUGGUACAUGUGUUUGGACAAAUAUAAUGAUAACAACAAAAAUAGCUCAUAAGAGUUUAAUUUAAACACUGAUAUCUACACAUUUUCUACGUUUUCUUGAUAAUAACCAAAAUUACGUAAAUUGUCACAUCAAUAGCUAUGGCAUUGUACUGCCAAAAACAGAGCUUUUAGGCGUUCCAUG